RNAcentral lists this transfer RNA (75 nucleotides) under uncultured Ruminococcus sp. RNAcentral's name for it is "tRNA-Arg(ccg)". It matches the Rfam family "tRNA". From Rfam's summary of the family: Transfer RNA (tRNA) molecules are approximately 80 nucleotides in length. Their secondary structure includes four short double-helical elements and three loops (D, anti-codon, and T loops). Further hydrogen bonds mediate the characteristic L-shaped molecular structure. tRNAs have two regions of fundamental functional importance: the anti-codon, which is responsible for specific mRNA codon recognition, and the 3' end, to which the tRNAs corresponding amino acid is attached (by aminoacyl-tRNA synthetases). tRNAs cope with the degeneracy of the genetic code in two manners: having more than one tRNA (with a specific anti-codon) for a particular amino acid; and 'wobble' base-pairing, i.e. permitting non-standard base-pairing at the 3rd anti-codon position. The record is from RNAcentral. Lineage: Bacteria; Bacillati; Bacillota; Clostridia; Eubacteriales; Oscillospiraceae.
UGCACCUGUAGCUCAGGGGAUAGAGCAAUGGUUUCCGGUACCAUGUGGCGGGGGUUCGAAUCCCUCCAGGUGCGU